GUGGUGGCUUAGUGGUAGAGUGCUUGUCUACCAUCCACAAAGUACUGGGUUUGAUCCUCAGCACCACA
RNAcentral lists this transfer RNA (68 nucleotides) under Marmota monax (woodchuck). RNAcentral's name for it is "tRNA.Gly". The record is from RNAcentral. Lineage: Eukaryota; Metazoa; Chordata; Mammalia; Rodentia; Sciuridae.